CAGUAGCCGCGGGAAAACGUAGGGUGCAAGCGUUAAUCGGAAUUACUGGGCGUAAAGCGUGCGCAGGCGGUUAUAUAAGACAGAUGUGAAAUCCCCGGGCUCAACCUGGGAACUGCAUUUGUGACUGUAUAGCUAGAGUACGGCAGAGGGGGAUGGAAUUCCGCGUGUAGCAGUGAAAUGCGUAGAUAUGCGGAGGAACACCGAUGGCGAAGGCAAUCCCCUGGGCCUGUACUGACGCUCAUGCACGAAAGCGUGGGGAGCAAACAGGAUUAGAUACCCGUGUAGUCCCUGUCUCUUAUAC
Molecule: ribosomal RNA, 301 nt
Filed under: uncultured bacterium
Lineage: Bacteria
Description: partial 16S ribosomal RNA
Rfam family: Bacterial small subunit ribosomal RNA
Source: RNAcentral